Molecule: small RNA, 2016 nt
Filed under: Pan troglodytes (chimpanzee)
Lineage: Eukaryota; Metazoa; Chordata; Mammalia; Primates; Hominidae
Description: retained intron
Source: RNAcentral
UACUAGCUGCCUCAUUUAAGUGAAAAAUCCAGAAGUUUAUAUGUUGUCAUCAUGACUAACAAGCCAUCAAUCAUUCUGUGUAAUUAUAUUCUUUAAUUUAUCCCAAUGUUGAAAUACUGGCAUUCUCUUUACCUCAAUAGUACAUGCAAAAGACACAGUCCCUGCCUUACUGGUCUGUCUUCUCAGUGUGAUGAGAGGGUAAUGAAACCAUGUGGGCAUCUGUAGCUGGUGGAUUAAUGAUAUUUUAGCAUGAGCUUUCCAUUUUCAUGCUGACACUUUCUUUAAUAGUGGUUAUUCUUGCUGGUGUCUAGUGUUAGAAUAAGCACACUUUAUUUUUUCCUCCCCAAACUCACCUGUAUCCAAAAGGAAUGCAUUGUAAAGGAAUGCAUUUAACUUUUUGUUAUGCUGAGUUGGAGUUGGCAUGGCAAAAAGAUGUUCUUGAAAUUCUCAACGUGAUCUCUGGUGCCAGGUGGCCGUUCUUCCCAUUAACGAUUGAGCGCCUCUUCUUUUCCGUCUUUUCUUUGUGUGCAUUGUUGUGUGUGUGUAACCCAGCCAAAGGAAGGACAAACAUGGAACUGCGUGAGAAGUUCAUUUUAGCAGAUGGUGCCAGCCAGGGUAUGGCUGCUUUCCGACCCCGAGGCCGAAGAUCCCGGCCAUCAUCACGAGGCGCUUCACCCAACAGAUCCACUUCUGUGUCCAGUCAGGCUGCGCAGGCGGCCUCCCCACAGGUCCCUGCCACCACCACACCCAAGAUUCUCCAUCCUUUAACACGCAAUUAUGGUAAACCAUGGUUGACAAACAGCAAAAUGUCAACUCCUUGUAAAGCAGCAGAGUGCUCAGACUUUCCCGUGCCAUCUGCAGAGGGAACGCCAAUACAAGGAAGCAAGCUUCGACUUCCAGGAUAUUUAUCAGGGAAAGGCUUCCACUCUGGGGAGGACAGUGGCUUGAUAACAACUGCAGCUGCCAGAGUCCGAACACAGUUUGCUGAUUCCAAGAAGACUCCCAGCCGACCAGGAAGUCGAGCUGGAAGCAAAGCUGGUAGCAGGGCCAGCAGCCGCCGAGGCAGUGAUGCAUCAGACUUUGACAUUUCAGAAAUCCAGUCCGUGUGCUCAGAUGUGGAAACUGUCCCCCAGACACACAGACCUACACCCCGAGCAGGUUCUCGGCCAUCCACAGCGAAGCCUUCAAAAAUCCCCACGCCUCAGAGGAAAUCACCUGCCAGCAAAUUGGACAAGUCCUCAAAGAGAUAGUGCAAUUGGUUCUACCAAGGCCCUUCCUUGAGCAUUUAUUAUUUAAGUUUGAACGAUGUAAAAUAUGGUGUAGAAAUUCUUGUGAAAUAUUGCAAGAGGCGAGUUUAAAAUUCUGCAGAUGGCCUUAUUUGUGUAUUUGUCUUUUUAUUUUAUCUGUAUAAUUUUUUUUGUCAGAUAUUCUGGGGUUAAAGUCACAUCAUAUGUGAGGAGGAAAAGUUUAACAUGAACUAACAUUUCUGCACUGUAACGUGCAGGGCACACACUAAACUCAGUUACUGUACCUACAGGUAAGUCUACAUCCUCUCUGACAGCCACAGCACUACAUCAAUCCCUGACAUUAGGGAUACCUCAUGACAUUUUCCUGUUUUUAUGGAAACUCUGAGAAGCUGAAUGAUACAUGCAGGGGAUAUUUUUUGAGAUGAUUUAAAUGUAAACCAAAAGAUGGAAGACAAAAAGACAAACACACCCACACGCAGUCUUUGCAGUAUCUGACAGAGAACUCACAGGAAGUUACUUCAAGCACUUGCCAGUACUAUGAUAUUCAAGUACCUUGCAGCAUUUCUGUGCCAUUGCUUUCAAUGAGGCCAGAGGCAUCCUGGAUAUUAGACCUAUUAUACUGUAAGAAUAUAAGUAUAAAGUGCAUUCAUAUACAUGUGAGGUUUUCUUUUGCUUGAGUGGACAGUAGCACCUGUAUCAUUGAACUCAUUUUGUAUCAGAGCAAUUUUGCUUGCAGAAAGCUAUGAAAUAAAACACGUCCCUUAACUGC